GGUUUCUAUAAUGCUAGUGUUAGGGUUUGGCUAGGGUUACUAUUAUGCAAGUGUUUGGGUUUGGCUAGGAUUACUAUAAUGCUAAUGUUAGGAUUUUGUCUACGGUUACUAUUAUGCUAGUGUUAUGUUUGGGCAAGGGUUACUAUUAUGCUUGGGUUAGGGUUGGGCUAGGGCUACUAUAAUGCAAUGGUUAGGGUUUGGCUAGAGUUACUAUUAUGAUACUGUUAGGGUUGGUCUAGGGUUACUAUUGUGCUAUAGUUAAGGUUUGGCCAGGGUUACUAUAAUGCGAGUGUUAGGAUUUGGCUAGUUUUACUAAUGUGCUAGUUAGGGUUGGGCUAGUGUUACUAUUAUGCUAGUUUUAGGGUUGGUCUAGGGUUACUAAUGUGCUAGAGUUAGGGUUUGGCUAGGGUUACCAUAAUGCGUGUGUUAGUUUUGGGAUGGGUUUACUAUUAUGUUAGAGUUAGGGUUGGGCUAGGGCUACUAUAAUGCAAUGCGUAGGGUUUGGCUAGGGUUACUAUUAUGCUAGGGUUAAGGUUGAUCUAAGUUUACAAUUAUGCUAGGGUUACUACUGUGCUAGAGAUACGGUUUGGCUAGGGUUACUAUAAUACUAGUGUUAGGGUUGCGCUAUUGUUACUAUUGUUCUAAUGUCAGGUGUUGGCUAGGGUAACUCAAAAGCGAUGGUUUGGGUUUGGCUAGUGUUUCUAUUUUGAUAGUGUUAGGGUUGGUCUAGGGUUACUGUAAUGCGAGUGCUAUGGUUUGAUAGGGUUACUUUAAUGUAAGUGUAAGGAUUUGGCUAGGUUUACUAUUAUGCUAGUGUUAGUGUUGGGUUAAGUUAACUAUUAUAACAGGGUUAGGGUUUGGGUAGGGUUACUGUUUUUGUAGUUUUAGGGUUUGGCUAGGGUUAGUAUAAUAAGACCGUUGGGGUUUGGCUAGGGCUACUAUAAUGCGAGUGUUAGGGUUUGGCUUGGGUUACUAUUAUGCUAAUGUUAUGGUUGGGCAAGGGUUACUAUUAUGCUAGGGUUAGUGUUACGCUCGGGUUACUAUUAUGAUAGUGUUAGGGUUGGUCUUUGGUUACUAUUGUACUAUAGUUAAGGUUUGGCCAGGGUUACUAUAAUGUGAGUGUUAGGGUUUGGCCAGGGUUACUAUUAUGCUAGUGUUAGGGUCUGGCUAGGGUUACUAUAAUGCGAGUGGUAGGGUUUGGCUAGGGUUACUUAAUGCAAUCAAGCACAGUAAUAUCAUGGUCAGCAAACCAGUUACUCAUAGUUUUGGCACUGUGGACAGGUGCUAAGUCUUGCUGGAAAAGAAAAUCAGCAUCUCCUUAAAGCUUGUCCGCAGUUGGAAGGAUGAAGUGCUCUAAAGUCUCCUGGUAGAUAGCUGCAUUGACUCUUUACUUGAGAAAACCCAGUGGACCAACACCAGCAGAUAACAUGGCACCCCAAAUAAUCACUGACUGUGGAAACUUCUCACUGGACUUCGAUUCUGUGACUCUCCACUCUUCCUCCAGACUCUGGGACCUCGAUUUCCAAAUGAAAUGCAAAUUUACUUUCAUCUUCCCCACAAUUGUGUUUGUG
Molecule: long non-coding RNA, 1571 nt
Organism: Ictalurus punctatus (channel catfish)
Lineage: Eukaryota; Metazoa; Chordata; Actinopteri; Siluriformes; Ictaluridae
Source: Ensembl